AGCGGCAGGCCUAAUACAUGCAAGUCGAGGGGUAACAGGAAGUGCUUGCACUUCGCUGACGACCGGCGCACGGGUGAGUAUCGCGUAUACAAUCUGCCUCAUACUGGGGAAUAGCCCGAAGAAAUUUGGAUUAAUACCCCAUAGUAUCUUUUUAAGGCAUCUUAUUAAGAUUAAAGGUUACGGUAUGAGAUGAGUAUGCGUUCUAUUAGCUAGUAGGUGUGGUAACGGCACACCUAGGCUUCGAUAGAUAGGGGCCCUGAGAGGGGGACCCCCCACACUGGUACUGAGACACGGACCAGACUCCUACGGGAGGCAGCAGUAAGGAAUAUUGGUCAAUGGACGAAAGUCUGAACCAGCCAUGCCGCGUGCAGGAUGACUGCCCUAUGGGUUGUAAACUGCUUUUAUAUAGGAAGAAAAACUUUCUCGUGAGAGAGCUUGACGGUACUAUAAGAAUAAGGAUCGGCUAACUCCGUGCCAGCAGCCGCGGUAAUACGGAGGAUCCAAGCGUUAUCCGGAAUCAUUGGGUUUAAAGGGUCCGUAGGUGGACAAAUAAGUCAGAGGUGAAAUCCUGCAGCUCAACUGUAGAACUGCCUUUGAUACUGUUUGUCUUGAGUUAUUAUGAAGUGGUUAGAAUGUGUAGUGUAGCGGUGAAAUGCAUAGAUAUUACACAGAAUACCGAUUGCGAAGGCAGAUCACUAAUAAUUAACUGACACUGAGGGACGAAAGCGUGGGUAGCGAACAGGAUUAGAUACCCUGGUAGUCCACGCCGUAAACGAUGGUCACUAGCUGUUUGGACUUCGGUCUGAGUGGCUAAGCGAAAGUGAUAAGUGACCC
Molecule: ribosomal RNA, 834 nt
Filed under: uncultured Flavobacteriaceae bacterium
Lineage: Bacteria; Pseudomonadati; Bacteroidota; Flavobacteriia; Flavobacteriales; Flavobacteriaceae
Description: bacterial SSU rRNA
Rfam family: Bacterial small subunit ribosomal RNA
Source: RNAcentral